Molecule: ribosomal RNA, 443 nt
Filed under: uncultured bacterium
Lineage: Bacteria
Description: partial 16S ribosomal RNA
Rfam family: Bacterial small subunit ribosomal RNA
Source: RNAcentral
CCUACGGGGGGCAGCAGUGGGGAAUAUUGGGCAAUGGGCGCAAGCCUGACCCAGCAACGCCGCGUGAAUGAAGAAGGCUUUCGGGUUGUAAACUUCUUUUAUCAGGGACGAAGCAAGUGACGGUACCUGAUGAAUAAGCCACGGCUAACUACGGGCCAGCAGCCGCGGUAAUACGUAGGGGGCAAGCGUUAUCCGGAUUUACUGGGUGGAAAGGGCGUGUAGGCGGGCGUGCAAGUCAGAUGUGAAAACUAUGGGCUCAACCCAUAACCUGCAUUUGAAACGGUCAGUCUUGAGUGCUGGAGAGGCAAUCGGAAUUCCGGGUGUAGCGGUGAAAUGCGUAGAUAUACGGAGGAACACCAGUGGCGAAGGCGGAUUGCUGGACAGUAACUGACGCUGAGGCGCGAAAGCGUGGGGAGCAAACAGGAUUAGAUACCCGAGUAGUC